AUUAAAUACAUCUAUGAGUUUCCGUGUCCAACUUUGAUCCAUCCGUCUUAUUUGAAAUUUUUUUAUAAUUAGUAUUUUUAUUGUUAUUAGAUGAUCAAAUAUGAAUAGUACUUUGUCUAUGGCUUAUAUUUUCUAUUUUUUUAAAAAAAAUUAAAUAAGACGGACGAUUAAAGUUGGACACGUAAACUUAUGGCCGUGCUUAAA
This is a non-coding RNA of Oryza glaberrima (African rice), 204 nucleotides long. The record is from Rfam. Lineage: Eukaryota; Viridiplantae; Streptophyta; Magnoliopsida; Poales; Poaceae.